RNAcentral lists this transfer RNA (69 nucleotides) under Urocitellus parryii (Arctic ground squirrel). RNAcentral's name for it is "Spermophilus parryii (Arctic ground squirrel) tRNA". It matches the Rfam family "tRNA". From Rfam's summary of the family: Transfer RNA (tRNA) molecules are approximately 80 nucleotides in length. Lineage: Eukaryota; Metazoa; Chordata; Mammalia; Rodentia; Sciuridae. RNAcentral also lists the same sequence under 1 other name. The record is from Rfam by way of RNAcentral.
GGGGUUGUAGCUCAGAGGUAGAGCGCUUGCCUUGCACGCCUGAGGCCCUGGGUUUGGUCCCCAACACCA